Small nucleolar RNA from Notolabrus celidotus (New Zealand spotty), 182 nucleotides. RefSeq annotates it as small nucleolar RNA SNORA81. The record is from RefSeq and is a predicted model, not a curated record. The transcript has a single exon. Lineage: Eukaryota; Metazoa; Chordata; Actinopteri; Labriformes; Labridae.
CACUUCUCUUUAAAGCACCCUGCUAAAACUGCAGGAGCCAGGCCUCAGGUUUGGCUCAUGUGACCGUGUAAGCAUGGGUACACCAGGGAAGGAGAUUAAAGACACAGUACCUGAAAUGAGGCUGGGAGGGACCUCUUUCUUAAUGUCCAGUGUCCUUUGUCUCAGGGUUCUGUGUUACAAAU